RNAcentral lists this long non-coding RNA (734 nucleotides) under Homo sapiens (human). RNAcentral describes it as "non-protein coding lnc-TMC6-5:5". The record is from RNAcentral. Lineage: Eukaryota; Metazoa; Chordata; Mammalia; Primates; Hominidae.
CGCGCGCCAGUCCUGGGAGCUUGCACUGCUCGGGGGGGUUACGUGGAGACUUGCGUGGUGUCCUUUACCGCCGCCGCCUGCCCUCCGGUCCCUGGGCGCUGUGGCUCCGCGUUAGGGUGCUGGCGGGAGGGGUGCCGAUCCGGUUCUGCGCGUCCGGUGGGUUCUCCGGGCCAGCGCCCCGCGGCGCCCGGGCUUUAUGCUGUAAUUGCGCCCGGCGGCGCCCGGCGCCCGCACCGGCGCGCGUCUCGCCCGUGCCGUGCACACGCCCUGCACCGCCCCACUUUGCACACGCACACGCACACGAGUCCUUGGGGCCCUGGAGCAUCGUGCUCGCCUCGCGCCUCCCGGCCCGCCCUUGCGCUCAGUCGCUCCCCAGGGAGCGCCCAGCUGCGAGCAAAACAAGCCUCGCUGCGAAACAGUCCCCCGGGGAGACAGCCCUUUCCCCGGAGCACAGACACCACACCUUCACCGCGCAAGCCUUCGGUCCGGGCCGAACCCGGGCGCUCCGGCGCCUACGCACCCCACGAUUCCUCCCCGGUGCUCCGUACGCCGCCGUGAUCCUCCAUUCCACGGCUCCUCGAUAUCCAUUAUUCAUUAGUGGUCGCAGAAGCAGGCUAGCUUUUCCCCCAUCGUUCAGUGGAGGAUCAGCAGUGCUACUUGGAAGUUGGUAUUGGAAGAGGCCAUUCCCUGUCUACGUGUCCCUGUCUUGAAGAGGAGAUAAUAACACACUAGUA